RNAcentral lists this ribosomal RNA (2795 nucleotides) under Escherichia coli. RNAcentral describes it as "partial 23S ribosomal RNA". It matches the Rfam family "Bacterial large subunit ribosomal RNA". The record is from RNAcentral. Lineage: Bacteria; Pseudomonadati; Pseudomonadota; Gammaproteobacteria; Enterobacterales; Enterobacteriaceae.
GGUUAAGCGACUAAGCGUACACGGUGGAUGCCCUGGCAGUCAGAGGCGAUGAAGGACGUGCUAAUCUGCGAUAAGCGUCGGUAAGGUGAUAUGAACCGUUAUAACCGGCGAUUUCCGAAUGGGGAAACCCAGUGUGAUUCGUCACACUAUCAUUAACUGAAUCCAUAGGUUAAUGAGGCGAACCGGGGGAACUGAAACAUCUAAGUACCCCGAGGAAAAGAAAUCAACCGAGAUUCCCCCAGUAGCGGCGAGCGAACGGGGAGGAGCCCAGAGCCUGAAUCAGUGUGUGUGUUAGUGGAAGCGUCUGGAAAGGCGCGCGAUACAGGGUGACAGCCCCGUACACAAAAAUGCACAUGCUGUGAGCUCGAUGAGUAGGGCGGGACACGUGGUAUCCUGUCUGAAUAUGGGGGGACCAUCCUCCAAGGCUAAAUACUCCUGACUGACCGAUAGUGAACCAGUACCGUGAGGGAAAGGCGAAAAGAACCCCGGCGAGGGGAGUGAAAAAGAACCUGAAACCGUGUACGUACAAGCAGUGGGAGCACAGAGCAAUCUGUGUGACUGCGUACCUUUUGUAUAAUGGGUCAGCGACUUAUAUUCUGUAGCAAGGUUAACCGAAUAGGGGAGCCGAAGGGAAACCGAGUCUUAACUGGGCGUUAAGUUGCAGGGUAUAGACCCGAAACCCGGUGAUCUAGCCAUGGGCAGGUUGAAGGUUGGGUAACACUAACUGGAGGACCGAACCGACUAAUGUUGAAAAAUUAGCGGAUGACUUGUGGCUGGGGGUGAAAGGCCAAUCAAACCGGGAGAUAGCUGGUUCUCCCCGAAAGCUAUUUAGGUAGCGCCUCGUGAAUUCAUCUCCGGGGGUAGAGCACUGUUUCGGCAAGGGGGUCAUCCCGACUUACCAACCCGAUGCAAACUGCGAAUACCGGAGAAUGUUAUCACGGGAGACACACGGCGGGUGCUAACGUCCGUCGUGAAGAGGGAAACAACCCAGACCGCCAGCUAAGGUCCCAAAGUCAUGGUUAAGUGGGAAACGAUGUGGGAAGGCCCAGACAGCCAGGAUGUUGGCUUAGAAGCAGCCAUCAUUUAAAGAAAGCGUAAUAGCUCACUGGUCGAGUCGGCCUGCGCGGAAGAUGUAACGGGGCUAAACCAUGCACCGAAGCUGCGGCAGCGACGCUUAUGCGUUGUUGGGUAGGGGAGCGUUCUGUAAGCCUGUGAAGGUGUACUGUGAGGUAUGCUGGAGGUAUCAGAAGUGCGAAUGCUGACAUAAGUAACGAUAAAGCGGGUGAAAAGCCCGCUCGCCGGAAGACCAAGGGUUCCUGUCCAACGUUAAUCGGGGCAGGGUGAGUCGACCCCUAAGGCGAGGCCGAAAGGCGUAGUCGAUGGGAAACAGGUUAAUAUUCCUGUACUUGGUGUUACUGCGAAGGGGGGACGGAGAAGGCUAUGUUGGCCGGGCGACGGUUGUCCCGGUUUAAGCGUGUAGGCUGGUUUUCCAGGCAAAUCCGGAAAAUCAAGGCUGAGGCGUGAUGACGAGGCACUACGGUGCUGAAGCAACAAAUGCCCUGCUUCCAGGAAAAGCCUCUAAGCAUCAGGUAACAUCAAAUCGUACCCCAAACCGACACAGGUGGUCAGGUAGAGAAUACCAAGGCGCUUGAGAGAACUCGGGUGAAGGAACUAGGCAAAAUGGUGCCGUAACUUCGGGAGAAGGCACGCUGAUAUGUAGGUGAAGUCCCUCGCGGAUGGAGCUGAAAUCAGUCGAAGAUACCAGCUGGCUGCAACUGUUUAUUAAAAACACAGCACUGUGCAAACACGAAAGUGGACGUAUACGGUGUGACGCCUGCCCGGUGCCGGAAGGUUAAUUGAUGGGGUCAGCGCAAGCGAAGCUCUUGAUCGAAGCCCCGGUAAACGGCGGCCGUAACUAUAACGGUCCUAAGGUAGCGAAAUUCCUUGUCGGGUAAGUUCCGACCUGCACGAAUGGCGUAAUGAUGGCCAGGCUGUCUCCACCCGAGACUCAGUGAAAUUGAACUCGCUGUGAAGAUGCAGUGUACCCGCGGCAAGACGGAAAGACCCCGUGAACCUUUACUAUAGCUUGACACUGAACAUUGAGCCUUGAUGUGUAGGAUAGGUGGGAGGCUUUGAAGUGUGGACGCCAGUCUGCAUGGAGCCGACCUUGAAAUACCACCCUUUAAUGUUUGAUGUUCUAACGUUGACCCGUGAUCCGGGUUGCGGACAGUGUCUGGUGGGUAGUUUGACUGGGGCGGUCUCCUCCUAAAGAGUAACGGAGGAGCACGAAGGUUGGCUAAUCCUGGUCGGACAUCAGGAGGUUAGUGCAAUGGCAUAAGCCAGCUUGACUGCGAGCGUGACGGCGCGAGCAGGUGCGAAAGCAGGUCAUAGUGAUCCGGUGGUUCUGAAUGGAAGGGCCAUCGCUCAACGGAUAAAAGGUACUCCGGGGAUAACAGGCUGAUACCGCCCAAGAGUUCAUAUCGACGGCGGUGUUUGGCACCUCGAUGUCGGCUCAUCACAUCCUGGGGCUGAAGUAGGUCCCAAGGGUAUGGCUGUUCGCCAUUUAAAGUGGUACGCGAGCUGGGUUUAGAACGUCGUGAGACAGUUCGGUCCCUAUCUGCCGUGGGCGCUGGAGAACUGAGGGGGGCUGCUCCUAGUACGAGAGGACCGGAGUGGACGCAUCACUGGUGUUCGGGUUGUCAUGCCAAUGGCACUGCCCGGUAGCUAAAUGCGGAAGAGAUAAGUGCUGAAAGCAUCUAAGCACGAAACUUGCCCCGAGAUGAGUUCUCCCUGAC